UACAUAUGAGGGCCAAAAAAUUGAAGACUAGUGCAUUUGAAGGGCAAUCCGUGCCAAAACUUGUAUAAAAGGUCAACAUCUAAGUCCACCUAAAAAUAGAAAUUCACAAUUUUCCCUCCCAUUUGAUGUUUGGUGAGGAAAAUCAAGAAUAAUAAGGGGACACAGAAUUGGAUUUUAGCAGAGCUCUUCUCUAAAAUGGGUAAUAAGCAGAAGAGAGACAGAAACAAUUUAAUUGCUUUGACGGGUGGCGCUGCUAUUGUAGCUAUUGCUGUUAACUUUGCUAUCUUCGCUUUCAACAAGAAAUAUCGCAAUAAAACAGAUGUUCCAGGUUCAAGAGUUCGAGUGAAUCUAUCUGCUUCUGAAAUUUUGAAAUUGGCAGAAAGCAUAAUUAACAAAUCGAAUCAGGUUCAUGAAGCUGUUGCUUCAGUUCCACUUGACAAGGUUAGCUAUGUAAAUGUGAUAUCGCCAUUGGCAGAGUUGGAGGCAGAGCAGUUCCCAUUGAUACAGUCAUGUGUCUUUCCUAAAUGGUUAUCAGCUUCUGAGGAUGUACGCAAAGCUAGUGCUGAAGCAGAGAGAAAAAUAGAUGCUCACAUUUCAAUGUGCAGGAAGCGCGAGGAUGUGUACAGAGUUGUCAAAGCUUUGACAGUAACAGGGGACGGAUUGAGUACUGAUGCUAAAAGCUUUACUCGGUUCCUGGUUCGAGAAUUUGAAAGGAAUGGUGUGAAUCUGACCUUAUCUAAGAAAGAGGAGUUGCAGCGUUUAACAGCAAAUAUUGAUGAGCUAAGCAUGCAAUACAUUCGUAAUCUGGAUAAUGAUUGUAGUUUUCUACUUUUCACUGAUAUGGAGCUAGAAGGGUUACCCCCGGAAUUUCUCAAGAGCUUAGAAAGAUCUGAAGAUGGUAAAAGAAAAAUCAAUUUGAGAAGCCAUCAAAUUUCACCGGUGCUAGAGCUUUGCAAGGUGGGAUCAACCAGAAGAGCUGUUGCUAUUUCCUAUGGGCGCAGAUGUGAAGACAAUGUUACUAUCCUUGAACAGCUGAUUCAGAUGCGUCACAAACUUGCUAGAUUGCUUGGAUUUGCAAAUUAUGCUGACUAUGCCACUGAUGUUAGAAUGGCAAAGUCUUCCUCUAAGGUGUUUGAGUUCUUGGAGAGUCUCUCUGCCAGCUUGAAUGAUUUAGCCCACAGGGAACUUUCGAUGCUUAAAGAAUUAAAGAAGAAAGAGGAAGGUGAAUCUCCUUUUGGCAUGGAGGAUCUCUCAUACUAUGUCAAAAGAAUCAAAGAUCAACAAUUCCAUACGAAUUUCGGAGCAAUUAGACAGUACUUCCCUAUCAAUUUGGUUUUGUCCGGCAUCUUCAAAAUCUGCCAAGACUUAUUUGGUUUAAGUUUCAAAGAAGUUGAAGGUGCUGCGGUUUGGCAUCCAGAUGUUCAGCUUUUUUCAGUUUCAGAUCUAAGUUCUAAAGAACUUGUUGGUUAUUUUUACCUAGAUCUGUACUCCAGAGUAGGCAAAUAUGCUCACACCUGUGUCAUAGCGCUUCAGAACGGUUUACUAAAUAAUGGUUCUACACAGAUUCCUGUGGCGCUGCUUGUUUCUCAAUUUGAAAAGGAAGUUGAUGCUCACCCUGGGUUGUUGCAGUUCUCGGAAGUGGUUAAUCUUUUUCAUGAAUUUGGUCAUGUGGUGCAUCACAUUUGCAACUGUGCAUCAUUUUCCAAAUUCUCAGGGCUGCGUCUGGAUCCUGAUUUUGUGGAGAUCCCUGGCCUUUUGAUGGAGAAUUGGUGCUACGAAAGCCUCUCCUUGAGACUGAUCUCUGGCUUUCAUCAGGAUAUUACGAAACCCAUUAAGGAUGAGCUUUGUAAAUCACUUAAGAAAUGGCGAUGCUCCUUCUCAGCACUGAAACUGAAACAGGAGAUCUUUUAUUGUCUAUUUGAUCAAAUUAUCCAUUCAACUGAGAAUGUUGAUAUUAAUGGGCUGUUCAAGCAUCUCUAUCCAAAGGUUAUGGUAGGAUUACCGCUUCUAGGAGGAAUAAAUCCAGCUUCAUGUUUUCCUCGAACUGCUAUUGGCUACGAGGCCACUUGCUACAGUCACAUCUGGAGUGAGGUCCUGCUCAUCCUUGCUCGUAUCCAUUUACAUAACAAGUUUGUCAUUAAUGGACGUUCCCAAAGGCUAAUAGCUUUUGGUCUUUGCUGCUGAUAUAUUUGCCAUGAAGUUUCAUGAUGAUAUUUUCAACCUACAAGCAGGCUUGCAAUUUAGGAAUAAGGUAUUGGCCCCUGGAGGUGUAAAAGACCCCCUUGAAAUGUUAUCAGAUUUUCUUGGGAGGGAACCAUCAAUACAAGCUUUUCUUGACAGUAGAGCUGACAUAAACUAGAGCUUUGUUUCACUUUUGAUAGCAGGGUGAUUUUUUGCUGCUACAUCCUGUAGAGUUUUAGUAUCCGGCAGGAAAUGUACUAUUUUCCAUUAUCAAAAUAGCAUGUAAAAUAAAAAACACUCCAAAAAAUCUGUGGUUGAGCUGUUGCUAAUGUAAGGUUAUUCUCCCUUUCGGGUUUCAUAUUUAUUUCUGUACCAAAUUUUUGAGAGGGGGUCCAAUGUACAACAAAAGAAGUUUUUGCACGGAUUGCCCUUCAAACAUAUUGGUCUUUAAUUUUGGCUCCUCAUA
RNA transcript from Lycium ferocissimum, 2647 nucleotides. It is a transcript of the gene named probable thimet oligopeptidase, with no coding region annotated. The record is from RefSeq and is a predicted model, not a curated record. The transcript has 20 exons. Lineage: Eukaryota; Viridiplantae; Streptophyta; Magnoliopsida; Solanales; Solanaceae.